AACGAACGCUGGCGGCAGGCUUAACACAUGCAAGUCGAACGCCCCGCAAGGGGAGUGGCAGACGGGUGAGUAACGCGUGGGAACAUACCCUUUUCUACGGAAUAGCUCUGGGAAACUGGAAUUAAUACCGUAUACGCCCUACGGGGGAAAGAUUUAUCGGGGAAGGAUUGGCCCGCGUUGGAUUAGCUAGUUGGUGGGGUAAAGGCCUACCAAGGCGACGAUCCAUAGCUGGUCUGAGAGGAUGAUCAGCCACAUUGGGACUGAGACACGGCCCAAACUCCUACGGGAGGCAGCAGUGGGGAAUAGUGGACAAUGGGCGCAAGCCUGAUCCAGCCAUGCCGCGUGAGUGAUGAAGGCCUUAGGGUUGUAAAGCUCUUUCACCGAUGAAGAUAAUGACGGUAGUCGGAGAAGAAGCCCCGGCUAACUUCGUG
Molecule: ribosomal RNA, 431 nt
Filed under: uncultured bacterium
Lineage: Bacteria
Description: partial 16S ribosomal RNA
Rfam family: Bacterial small subunit ribosomal RNA
Source: RNAcentral